AAGUCGUAACAAGGUUUCCGUAGGUGAACCUGCGGAAGGAUCAUUAACAAAUCAAUACACACGAUCUCCUGGCGCAAGCUGGGAGUAUCUACACACGAUAACUUUUGACGAAAAUUGAGACGAUCAAUAGAAUCAACUUUUAACAAUGGAUCUCUUGGCUCUUGCAGCGAUGAAGAACGCAGCGAACUGCGAAAAGUAAUGUGACCUGCAAACUUCGUGAAUCAUCCAAUCUUUGAACGCAACUUGCACCUGAUGGCUUUAGUCAACAGGUAUACUUGUUUGAGUAUCUUAUACACACUCUCACAGCUCUGUGGGGAAUUGAGCGUCUUGCCAAAGUCGCUUUAAAGGAAGACCGGGCGUGCCUCGAGGACGCAUGGUCUAUUGGGAUAACAUCCUAACAAUAGACUGUCCGCUGGCCUCUUGUUGCAAGACAAGACUGGUUCCGUCGCAAGACACUUCUGAACACAGAUCUCAAAUCAAGUAAGGAUACCCGCUGAAUUUAAGCAUAUUAAUAAGCGGAGGAAAAGAAACUAACAAGGAUUCCCCUAGUAGCGGCGAGCGAAGAGGGAAGAGCUCAAAUUUAAAAUCUGGUACCUUUGGUAUCCGAAUUGUAUUUGAUAGGGCUUUUCUUCGUGAUCGGCUGUGGCCCAAGUCCUUUGGAACAAGGCAACAAAGAGGGUGAUAUUCCCGUCUAGGCCACGGAUCGUGAGCGGUAUAAGAAAAGUUCGACGAGUCGGAUUGCUUGGGAAUGCAGUCCAAAAUGGGUGGUACACGCCAUCUAAAGCUAAAUAACGGCAAGAGACCGAUAGCGAACAAGUACCGUGAGGGAAAGAUGAAAAGAACUUUGAAAAGAGAGUUAAAUAGUACGUGAAAUUGUUAAAAGGGAACCGAUUGAGAUCAGUGAUGUCUGUCGCAUUUCAGCUCAUCUGAUGAUGAGUGUAUUGUGUGGCAGGCAAGUCGACUCUUCUUUGUGCUCUUGGAAAAGGCCGUGGGAAAUGUGGCUCUGCUUGCAGUUGCUUUAUAGUCCCGCGGAGAUACAAGAGAACAGAGAAGACCGCAAGGAUAUUCCAAGUCGACGAAAUGGUCUUAAACGACC
RNAcentral lists this ribosomal RNA (1096 nucleotides) under uncultured fungus. Its description in RNAcentral is "eukaryotic LSU rRNA". The stretch from base 467 to 1096 matches the Rfam family "Eukaryotic large subunit ribosomal RNA", at positions 1 to 649 of the family's 3401-position model. Lineage: Eukaryota; Fungi. The record is from RNAcentral.